This 66-nucleotide transfer RNA is filed under the name Bacteroides cutis. It matches the Rfam family "tRNA". From Rfam's summary of the family: Transfer RNA (tRNA) molecules are approximately 80 nucleotides in length. Their secondary structure includes four short double-helical elements and three loops (D, anti-codon, and T loops). Lineage: Bacteria; Pseudomonadati; Bacteroidota; Bacteroidia; Bacteroidales; Bacteroidaceae. The record is from RNAcentral.
GGAGUAGCUCAGUUGGUAGAGCACCGGUCUCCAAAACCGGGUGUCGGGAGUUCGAGUCUCUCCUCC